CUCAUUCAAACAAAAAAAAGAAACUCACUUUCUCUCAAAAUCUGAAAUGUUCUAAAUAUUUGACAAGCUCUCUACAUCUUCUAAAAACUCUCUCUCUCCAUCGUCACAACCCAAUCUCCAAAUUUUUCUCUACUCUUAAAAAUUCCAUCAAAGACUCACAAAAUCUAAACUCUAACCAUCCCUCAAGCCUCCAUGGCAGAAGCUUGAAGCUCUCUCUCUAUCUCUCAUCAGUAACUUUUAGGGCUGGGCAUCUGAGUACUGCCCUCGCUGCCUACUCGAUGUCUCACGCCACUGCACAGACGCAGACCAUUGGCUCGCUCUGAUUUGGAGUUGCUCAUCUUCGAUAUCUGCAAUUGGACAAGCAUGAGGAGAUGGAGGACUCAUGAGCCAGAGUUACAUCCCGACUUUGUACAUGGAGAUUUAUGGGAGUCUUUCAAGGACUGGAGUGCAUACGGUGCAUGGGUCACAAAAUGGGAGUGACUCUGUUAUGUACUAUGUUCCUUAUUUGUCUGCUAUUCAGCUCUAUGUAGACCCAUCAAAGCCCUCCACAAGAAUAAGAUAACGACACGGGAGCAAAAUCACAAUCAAGUGAGUUUCCAUAGGUGCACCAUUCUUGCUUGGAUGCUCGGUUCUUGGAUCUCUUCAGGUGCUUCAAGACUUUGAAAUGUAACUAAUCAGUUUGCUAGACCAUGCUUAACAAAAUGUUGAAGUUUAAUUACUGUGGUAAUACAAUUUCCCUUAAUUUCCAUUUGGACAAAUGUAACUUGACAAUGGAUUUGUUGAUCUUUCUAAUAUGUAUGGAGCUAUUUUUUUUCUUAAUGAAAACUCUCUAUUCCGGGCUA
Molecule: long non-coding RNA, 842 nt
Organism: Prunus dulcis (almond)
Lineage: Eukaryota; Viridiplantae; Streptophyta; Magnoliopsida; Rosales; Rosaceae
Exons: 3
Source: RefSeq, a predicted model, not a curated record